Long non-coding RNA from Tympanuchus pallidicinctus (lesser prairie-chicken), 9679 nucleotides. RefSeq lists it as uncharacterized. The record is from RefSeq and is a predicted model, not a curated record. Lineage: Eukaryota; Metazoa; Chordata; Aves; Galliformes; Phasianidae. The transcript is spliced from 3 exons.
UCAGAGAGGUAAACUGCCCAAACUGCUUGUUUCAAUUCAGGCUUUGACUCAAAACCCUAUUGACACCAUUAUAGCUGUCAACAUUUGAUACACAAUACACAAAUAUAUUUUAGCAGAUGGAGAGGAAUGGAAAUAAAGCCAAUAUGCCGUUGAGGCUCGGUUCAGAAUUACUGGGAGGAAGAGAACUGGAAGAGGAGGGGUGCCAAGAAGGAAGUAGAGCAGAAACAGGGAAAGGAAGAUAGGAAGGGAGGAAAAAUCACUGCCGCCCAGUUCUGCUGAAUCAAGCACUGAGGAGUAAAAGAAAAAUAAACAAAGCUUUUCUUGCUGCAGCAAACGAUUAAGCCUUGCUUUUGCUCUUUGUAUGAAGCUCCCUCUGAGAUUAGCAAGUGUAGACAAAAGGCGAUGUGUUUGCUUAGAUUCACACCACAGCCCCUUCUUCACUGCUGCAUGGAGUUUGUUCUCCUCCACAGGAUGAACGGGAUGUCCCUAAUGUCACCAACAGCUCAGAUAAAACAGCCUGCUAACCAGCCAUUUUGAAUUAAUAAGAGUAAUCCACAUUAUAAAUCCAAUAGCUCUAUGGAAGUUACAAAAUGGCACUAAAGUUUUGAUAGGGUUUUGUUGUAACUAAAAAUUAUGGUCCUAGAUUAAACAGAUGUGUGAUGCCACCAUUCAUCACUCUGUGAAGGAAUGAGUACCUUUUUAAAAAAACUCAGUUACACAGCAGAAACACAUAUAGUAGGGACAAACUGACAGCAAAAUAGUCCUUCCAGCCUGCAAAUGGAAACCAUAUCUCUAGAAUCUAAUAGAAUGACAACUGGAUUUCUAGAGUCUGAUAAAAAGAUAUCGGAAGCCAAGGAGGAGAGUAGAUGUGUGAGCAAAAGGUAAACUUCAGAUUUUGCAGUUGAGGGACCAGGAUACCAAGAACUUACAGUUCAACAUGUGUAAAACAGGCCCAUAAUGUGAUUUUCAGUACCCCUAGACAUUUUCUAAAGAAGAACCUCUACGAAUUCUCUACCUAUCUUCUGUUCCUACAGUAUUUAUGAACUGAACAUGCGCACUUCUUUUCUUAGACAAAGGUGAUUUUUCACAAAUUGUCUGCAUUUAAAGGACAAGUAUAUCAAUUCACAACAUUCACUAUUCUUGUGCUUUUCUUUCUUUCUCCAAGUACAAAAGAAGAAUCAAAAUUUAAUAUUCAACAGUCAACUUUUUUAGGGGAUCCUUUUUCAUGACAUCUUUUAUGUUUCAGAGCUUUGGUAGCUCCAUUUUUAUAGCGCAAACUGGUUUGCCUACUUUUGGUCUCAGAUUCCUGUGCACAAGCAUAAGUCUGACAAACUUAAUUUGUGUUAAGAAAUAAUUUUAUGUUGUCAUAGAAACCUGUGCAAGAUGAUCCAGGCAUGAGCAAAAAUGUAACAAAGGUACACUGACUGGUGCUUCUGCCAAUGAAAUUCCCCUUGUUUGUGUCCCACUAGUAAUUUCCCCACAUCCUAUGGCAAAAAGGGCAAAAGGAUCUCAUCUUCACAGAAUCACAGAAUCACAGAAUCAUAAGGGUUGGAAGGGACCUCCAGAGAUCAUCGAGUCCAACCUCCCUCCCAGAGCAGGUUCCCUACAGCAGGUCACACAAGUAGGCAUCCAGGCAGGUCUUGAACAUCUCCAGAGAAGGAGACUCCACCACCUCCCUGGGCAGCCAACCUCCCUGGCCAUCUCAUCUUGUCUGCUGAGAGGAACAAUUUGCCUGAAGAGUGACUGCAGUGCCUUAAGGAGGCCACACUUCCCUGUCCAAAAGAGCGUUUGUAGCCAGUACAGUUAUGCCAUGGGGAGAAAAUUAAUGUUUUCUUUCAAAAAAGAAACAAAACUGCAAUAGAAAUCCCCAAAACUAAUUGCAGAGACCUCCAUGAUACCACAGAAAGAAGAGAAUGCCUUGCUUCCAUUAUGCCAGGGGUCUGCUUCCAUCAGCAGGAGUGAAUUAUGCCCACAUCUUAAUGUUUGCACAGCUCUUGUCAUCCAGAAACAAGUUUUAUUUCCAUCAGAGAAUACAUCUAAUGAAUGGAACAGUAACAGGGAGAAAAAGAAUCAAUGAACAUUGGUCAUCAUGACAAGUUUGUGUCCAGUUGCUUCACCCAGCAUGCCUUGCCAUCCUAAUGACUCCCUACCUGAUAUCAAUGGACACUUUUGGAAAUUUCUGGGCAACGAGAGCACCGAAACUGUGCUGCAACACCUGCACUCAACCUCGGCCAUCAGAGACAUUUACAGCCAAGACUUGCGACAGCAGUGAAUACCUCUUAUCCUUGCCACUGCUGCCAUCAGACUGACUCAACUAGAUUCUUUCCCAGGGGAAAUCUCGGUACAUCUGCUAGCGCUGAUUUGGCUUUCAAAAGGCUUUCAGCUAAAAGGUUAUUGCUGUGGCUCCAUGGCCUUUCAAAGGGCAAAAGGGCAAAAAUAUUACUGCAAAAAAGUCAGAAAAUCUGUAACAUUUUGUGCAGACUUGGGAGUCCCUCUAAGCAAUGACUGGAAGAAGAGCAAAAGGAUUCCCGUCCACAGUGCUCCUCUGGUGCAAUUAGUACUGGAAACACUCCAAAAAGACAAGGACAUGGAUACAUUACAGCUUCUUUUUGCCCCUAAUGCUAAUUAGUUGCAAUAUGUCAAUAAUUAGAACAGAGUUUAGUGAACAAAUAUUACCUCUUUUUCUGAUGCUGUAUAGUCCAGAAAUUUUAUUUUUCCCUUAUUAUUUAUCAUUUGAAAAUAUUUCCCAAUAAUGUCUCCAAGACCUUUUUGAUUUGAAGCUUGCUCACGUGCCUUUUGCAAGUGUUAGAGACAGAGACAGGUCUGGCAUCGCUUCUGAUUCUUGAUACGGUGAAAGCAGAUUUUAGUGCUGGGUGUGCCACUGAAUUCCAAACUGAUAUUUUCCAGCGUUCUCUGUAAAAUGCAUUUUUGUGGGCUAUCUGUGCAGCUUUACCUUUGCUAAUAAAGAAAAAGAAAGUCAGAACACAAGGGACAGGAAGACAGCUGAAGUAUACUAGUGUAAUGAUUUAUGCAGAUAUUGGUAGGCAUUUUUGACAGGAGUCUAGUUACAAGAAUCUGAAUAGAAAGCCUGAUUAUUUCCUUCUUUUUUCAAGAAAAAGGUGAAUAGGGGAUGGAAAAUGAACAUAAUUUAAUUACUGUUGUUAUUAUUGCUGUUAGAUUGUAACUGCCUAUCUGCCACUUCCCCCCUAUGUGCAUAUAUACACAUCUCUUUUUAUGUUCACUGCCUGUCCAUAGCUUCUCUUAUAUAUGCAUCUCGUUAUGUCUCAUUAUCACAUCUCAUUCCCAUGCUCUUUAUAGUGCAAAACAAGGUGUGUAUUUGGCUAUGAAAAUGCUGGAGGGGGUGUGUGCAUUUUGCAUGGGAGAUGCUGCAUUAUCAUGUCAAUCAUUUCUCCUUCUCUUUCUUAGGCUUUGCAGAUGAAUCCUGGAUGUGCCCCAGCUGGAAUUCCGCUGGCACUGGAGAAGCUCAGAUUUAGACACCACAUUCUCAGCCCAGGUCCACUGGCUGUGAUUCAUAUCCUGUUAUCAAACAGGGACCCAACGCUUUCUUUCCAACAUGCUGAAAAUCUGGUUUAGAGAUAAGCACAUUAUGUGGGUUGCUAGGAAAGGAUUGUCUUUGCCAGUUGAACCUCUACUCUGAGAUCUCUUUUUUUCCUUUCCCCAUAGGAAAGGCUGCUGCCUAUUGUCCAGUCCAGCUACUGGAAAAUGGGUAGAGGGGGACCACAGGGAUCUAGCUCAUUAUUAUGCACCCACUGAUGCUGGCUGGGCAUGCAGCUUCUACAUGUCCCCCAGGCUCUUGCAGCAGCCUGUGCUCCAUCAGUGUGGAUACGCUCAACUUUACCAUACAAAUGAAGGGACACCCCAGCCUUGCAGCUGCAAGGAGGGGCAGUAUCUUUAAAAAGCAGGUGUAAGCACAGCACAAAAAAACAAUUUCAGGGAGCUUAUGCACCAGUUAAAAUUCAUACUGGUCAGGCUGGAUAACACAUAUCACCAUACACUAAAAAGAAUUCAUUCAGGGCAAGUCAUUUACAUCGAUACAUUGCCUGGAGCACGACUGACGUAUUUGCAGAGUAGUGUAUCAGCAAGAAGCUGGGUUGUGAUGAGCAGACAGAUUACAGUGGUUGACUGAAGAUGAUCUCCCAUUUGCUUGCCCACCCGUGACUCAAAAGCCAUUGCUCUGUGGGAUGCAUACAUCAUGCUUUUAGCUGGGUUCUGUGCCCAAAUCUCUGCUUUGCCCACAUACAGGGACCAGCAUUUCCUUCACAAUGAAGUAGUCUGGGCUGCAAUCUGAAAUCUUUGUGUUGCUUACAGCACCACCGGUAAGCUAUGGAGAACCAUUCUGCCCUAUGACCGUUUUGAGUGAGGAGAGCACUUUGGCCCUCUGGUUCACUGGAAAAGGAGCAUGGAGCAGCUGGGAUUAGUAUAGUGCUGAGGUCUGUGGGAUGUACUGAUAGCCACACAUAUACAUAUACAUAUAUUGUACAAACAGACUUCAGAAUUACUGCCUGCUGGGCAGAACAAGAGGAGCUAACCACCUCUAGAUCCUCUUUGAUUUGUGGCAACAAACAACCCCACUUUUCUUUGAAAAUCAGCAUAAGGUUAUAUUGUGUACAUGAGUUGUUUUCUAUCCCCUCGGUUCUCUCGGCGUCUGAGAUACGUUGCACCUGCUGGAAGAUGUAGAAUACAUCUCAGCCUCACAAUAACAACUGUGCUUUGAGAACUGUCCUUAACCAGCAGAACUGGGAGGCUGGCAUAUGGAAGAUAUGGAAGAUAUGGAAGAAGAGGACGGGGAAAAGAUCUUCUGCUCUGUGUGAGAACCAAGAAUUUGGAAUAUAUUUCAGCAAACAUUAACCAAUUGACCUUCCUGCUGGAUAUGUGCUGGGCUGUGGCCUCAUUGAGAGAUUCCAAAUUAAUCACACGCCUCUUCAAAAGGUGUCUGAGGGAGGUUUCUCUGCAGAGACUAUUGAUGUGCUUCCAGCUCUCUUGGACUCUCUGGAUGAUAAAGAGGUAGCGAGCAGAAGGGGAUGAACUGAAUCAACAAGAGACAAAGUGAAUUACAAGUUGCCCAAACAAUCAGGCCAGAUAGCUGGAAAUCAAGGGCAAGCUUCCCUCUGACCUGUGCUGCUUCUCUCCAAGCACUGCUUCUUCUUUCCAGCUUCUUCUGGGAAGAAAUUCUUCAUCCAGUUUGAGUAAGCUGCUCACAGCCAAAGCCUGAAGAAUAAGAGAGGAACAUGCAUGCGGUGGUGGAUGAAACAUCUCCCUGCUCGUGUCCCCAGGCCGGCAGCUGAGGGGUUACAGGCUGGCAGCAGCUUGGCUUCACUCGAAUUUGUUGAGCUCUCCACACCCCUCCAACAGCUCCAGGCUCUUGGAGUUGGGAUUAUAGCCAUCACUGACUAGUAUCAUACUGAAAAAGCACUGCUUUUUAUAUACUCUGCAACGUCCCUGAAAGCUUAGGAACUAUUGUCAGCUGAAUGUAUUUAUAUUAAUGUCCAAUCGCUGCACCAAAUAUUCUCUGUAAAGUCACCUUUCACAUGUUAAUGUGCUUUGGGUCAUCCUGAAAGCAAGAAGGGGAAGGUUGGACAAGGACAUGAUAUGGCGACACCAACAUUGAAGUGUUCUAAUUCAAUUUUAUUACCACACAUUUAGCAAUUUUUGUGCAGGUUUUUAAAUUUCAUCAGGCCAUCUUCCUAAAUUCCUGCAUUCCUUUCCUUCAUUUUCUUUCCCUUUCCCCUUUUCCUUUCCCUUCUUCUGUUCCUUUUCCUUCUUCUUCUCUUUCUCUGUUCUUUCUCCCUUGUCCAUCUCCUUCUCCCUCUCAGUCUCCUUUUUGUUUUCCCUUUGUUCUCACUAUUUCUCCCCUUCAUCUUAGUCUAGUUUACAUUUUUUAUUUUUACUAUUCUAUCACUUUUUAUUUCAAGAGGAUACACAACACGUGAUACAGUUUUGCAUGCUUUUACUCCUAAUGAUAUACACAGGCCAAGUUUUGCACCCUACAAAGUUGGGCGUAUCGUUCUGGCAUAAUUCCACUGAUAUUAACGGAAUUUAAACUGACAUCAGACUCCAACCCUACAUUUUAAUGCUUGAUUAGCAUGGUCUCAGCUGUGAGACAAUUUGUCUUUAGACUACACUAAGCCCCCAUUAAAUCAGAAAAAGAAUGUUUCUGAGUGAGCAUGCCAAUCAUUACGGCUUAUCUAGUGAAAGAUGCCACAUGCUUUCUCCUGCUCUAUCCUUAUUUCUGACAGCUACUUAUGCUUCUCAUGGUCUAAUUGGGCCUGCCAAUCCUCCCUGCUCAUCCCAAUCUGUCCAGCCCAGAUGCACAAGUCUGAAAUGUUUUUAAAAUCUGCAUAUGGUUGCUGAUUACAAGAAAUGGGAAAAAAAUACAGCCUAGAUGUUGUGAUACGUUUCCUUCUUUGGGAUUCUAUUUGUGCUCAAGACAAAUAUAAGAACUGCAAAAAUUAAAAGAAGAAAUUAAAAUUAAAAUUAAAAGAAGAAAAUGCAUCUUAAUACUUGGGCUGUCUGGCUCUGGGGGUGGGAAGGGUACUGCCGGCAGAUGAAGGCCAUAUUUCCUCCUGAGGCUUGCACUCACAAAACAGCCAGGGCUAAACCCUCCCAUUUGUUGCUUGCUGUGCUGUGAAAGAGGAGGUGAGAGGUAUCUCAGGUAGCACCAAGUGGCAGCAGAUACUGCUUGCAAUGUGCUGCAGAGCCCAGCGCACAGCUUCUGGAGGAUCUCAUCAGGAGUGCCUGGCAGGUCAGGACCCGCUCUGUCUUCAUGCAGAGAAACAAGAAGUGCCCUGUUCUUGGGAAGCCACUUGAUGAACAACAGGAUUCCCUCUGUGGAGCACACCUCUGCCAGCUGCUGCGGAACCUUAUUGCUGCAGCUUGCCAGGAGCACGCUGGCAUUUGGGCUGCAGUGUCCCAGCGAGGCUGGCAGAGCUCACACGUCCCCCUGGGACAGGAGCCAAAGCUUGGGAUUCAAUGGGUAAAAAAGCCCAUUGAUCUCAGAGCUUUGGGAUCUGUCCUUUUCCUCUUCUCCUUUGAGGAUUUAUCCAUUGCUUACAUGCAUAUAUCACUUCUGAAGCAUAUGGAGCACUUGGUUUUAAUCUCAAAUUUCCCUGGUGACGGGAGGGGAAGUGUGCUGGCAGCUGGCACUGAAAAAUACUCAUUAUUCUGUACACUACUAUCGCUUUUUACUACCCCAAGAAAGAUAAAAAUUGCAAUAAAAAUGCACAGUUUUUUUUUUUUAAUCAGCCUUUGCCUGCCCUUAAAGGCACAGUAAAAUAUCACAACGUGCAAUUUUUAUGUGUGUAUGGAAAAAUGAUGAGAAAGUAUCAAAAUGGGAAGUGAAAGAACAACUAAAAGACACUGUUAAGUGAACGAUCCUUUUUAGAAAAAGCUCAGAAGGAGGGAUUCUGAUUUAGCAGGGGGCUGGAUUCUCUUUUUGAACUGGAAGGUAAAAACAUCUUAGAUUUUCAUUCCACUCCAACACCUUUUUGCUUCUUUGUUUCCACCAUGGCUAGUGCAAUUUUUUCAGCACUAGAUGUCAGUGUGGACAUACGAUACCAGCCUGCUUUGCAUUUUUCCAUUCACAAGAGAGGAAGUAAUGACAUUCAGAGUGAAACUAAGCCUCCCCAGCCUCAUGAUGUGCUUCCUACAAAACAGGUCUCUUCUUUCCCAUCUGACCUCCACAAGGAAGCCGUACAAUCUCAUACUGUCCUUGUUUUGGUUUUGUGUGGCUGCAAAAAGGCCCUCCUCAUUUUGUGAUCACAUCACAAUGGGUUAAAGAGGACUUUGUGACUCCAGGGGAAAAGCUUUGUUUAGGAAGGAAUAGUGACAACUAAAAUGUUCUGAAUGAUCCUGAUAAAUUGUGACCUUCCUAAGGAGGAGAUAUCCAGGUGCUCUACACGGUUAGCUAACCCUGUAACCACUGCACUCAUCCCAAAGAGAACCUACCGUGAGGCUGUCUGUGCAUUCCCAUCACCUAGAAGAAUGUUUUAUCAUCUAGAAAUGGCUUGUUACAUCAGACUGUUACAAGAACUAACUUUAACUGUUCCAGUUCUAACUUGAUCCUGACAUUUUCUAAUUAGUGAACUGAAACCAGCUAAGAGCAGAGAAGCCUACCAGGAAGUUUGUGCUGGGCUUCCGAAGUGGUAAAGGGUGCUUUUACUUUCUACUAUUGUUUAUGGAACAUUUUGUUUCUUCAAAAAUUGUUAAAUUUGGACCCUUGAAUCCAAAUCAUGAAUGUCCCCAUGCUUUUACUGGAGGGUCUCCCUCACUCUGUAAGCAGCAAUUGAAGACAAGGACUCGACUUCUCCUGCUUCUGGGAAAGUACAUAUCAGCAACAGAGAGGAAGAAGUGGCUUCACAAUUCCCUUCGUUCUUCUCUUACUUUCACAGGUUCUGUCUUCUGCCAAGUGGAUCAGAGCCAGCACAACAGAUGGAGUCUUUUACACCACCCUCGUGCCUGCUUUACACCAGGCAUGGUGCGCAGCAGCCCAGGCAGAAAUGCUUCUGGCAGAGCACGGGAAGUGGAGCCCUCUGACAUUCCUCCUGACUCAGUUCAGUUGCAGCCCUGAUCUAGGGCUUCAGAAAAGUCCAGUUACAUGCUUCUGCUGUCUUCCUUACGCACUCCUUAAUAAAGCAUUACUCUGAUACAUAUACUAGUAAACCUUGCUUUUAAUAUACCUCGAAGUCUUUACUGUCCCUGUGACCUCAGUGCAAGGAGUCACCAAAAUGCAUGCAGGACUGCCGAAGCAGCUGGGCUCAAAAGCCCUUUGAGGAGCUACCUGGUAUGUUCUUGUUUUUCAUUGUUAGGCUUAUCAGCAGCAGGUUGUAAAUAGAAGGAUACGAAAGAUUAAAAGAACAAUACUUCUCUGAUUUAAAACUAUCAAUUGAAAAUACUAUCUGUGCAAAAAUGAGGAAAAAAGAUUUUUUUUCUCCUGGAUUCUGAAAGAUUAAGGUAAUAUUUGGCAGACAAUACAGAACCUGAAAGAAUACAAAUGGUAUUCGGCAAAUCUAAUGUCACAUGGCUCUACUGCCUGCUCUCAUUGCUACAUAUUUUGUUUUGUUAAUGUUUCUGUAAUUUCCAUUUACUCACCUCUGUCUGUAGAUGCCUACCAUUCAAGCAAUUAGCACUGCCAGUGAAAGAUGUAUCCUGUAAAAAAGCUUGUCGGCCAUCAGCCUCUGAAGACUGAUUUACCUGUGUAAUAUCCACAAUGUCAGGACUCAGAGUGCUUUCUUUAUUAGCCAUUAUGAAUUGUUCAGACAGAGCUUUCUGUAAAGCCAAAUGCUUCUCUAGGUGCAGAAGGGAUUCAUGGUCUGGCACUCUGAACUGCAAGACGAGGCAAUGUGAUUCAGGAAUAUACUCUGAAAGACGCCUAUUAUUUCCCUCUGCAGAAAUAAAGAGGACUGAAGCCAUCAACAGUCCUCCCCCAACUCCCAAAUCCACAUUCAGCUGGCAUUUCUGGGCACUGAUAUACGAGAGCUGAAAACAAGAGAGAGUAAACAUACUUCCCAUCUGUUAGUUUGUCCUCCACCCCCUCUCCUUAGAAAUCGCAGAAACAGAAGAAUCAGCUGGAUGGAACCUUUACAGGUCAACUUAUCCACCCCCACAUUCCCACACCCACAGAUCUGUGUAUUAACACCCAAAUAAACAUAGAUUGAUGUCA